UACGUAGGGCGCAAGCGUUGUCCGGAUUCAUUGGGCGUAAAGAGCGUGUAGGCGGCCAGGUAGGUCGGUUGUGAAAACUGGAGGCUCAACCUUCAGAGGUCGACCGAAACCAUCUGGCUAGAGUCCGGGAGAGGAGAGUGGAAUUCCUGGUGUAGCGGUGAAAUGCGCAGAUAUCAGGAGGAACACCGGUGGCGAAGGCGGGUCUCUGGGCCGUAACUGACGCUGAGGAGCGAAAGCAUGGGGAGCGAACAGG
RNAcentral lists this ribosomal RNA (253 nucleotides) under uncultured bacterium. RNAcentral describes it as "partial 16S ribosomal RNA". It matches the Rfam family "Bacterial small subunit ribosomal RNA", at positions 524 to 776 of the family's 1533-position model. The record is from RNAcentral.